CAGAACCUCUGUGCACCAUGGCUCAGGCCAUCUUGAAGCCAACACUUAAGGAAUGGACCCUCUGGGGCCCACCUCCUUCCAGCCCUGCCUUAUAAGACCCCCGUGACCUGGCACCUGCAACCACAGCAGGAGACAGGAGCCAGCGUUCCUCAGGAUUCAGGACUUCUGAGUUGCAUGAAUGGGGCCUGGGAACCGCCGCUUUCCCUGCCCAGUGGCCACACGGGUUAUGCAGCUGAGGACUGACUUGGGCCGGGGGUCAUGGCUUCCUAGGCCUUCUGGCUUCUGCUUCAUUGCAGCCCUUUCCAGCUGCAAGUCAACACCAGGAGGAACUGAUUUGGGGACCUGGAGUUCAAGGCUGUAAACUCCCACAAAGGCCAGAGCCGGCGGAGCUGGAGAGCCCCAUUUUGGGAAGCUGGUGGUGAGGGCCUCUGCCUUUGAUCGCCAGGGAGACAGAGGACCUUCUCUGGCCAAACGCUCGACCUACCUUGUCUCUGUUCCCACAACAAUCCUGCAAGGUAGGUGUUAUUACCCCAUUUUCCAGGUGGAGAAGAUCCAGAGGGGUGCCCUUGCCCAGGGUCAGGCAGUCCUCAGCAAAGUCUCAGGAUGAAAGGGGAUUUAUGUAUGGGUGUGUCUGGCCCUCAGGGUGCCUUGCAUGGAGAUGUCUACGAGGAGAGACCUUCCUGAGCUGAGCUGCUCUCAGGAACAUGGGCCACAGGUGGAAGGGCCUCGACCUCUCUGCAGGAGAGCAGGUGUCUCAGAGAGGGGCUCCCUGUCCCAGUGCCAGCUAGGACCCAUGACCUGAGCUAGCUGGGGGAGGACAGGAAGGAAGUCUGAGAAGGACUUAAACGUGAGUGAAGCGAGAGGGGUGGGACCUGCUUGACUUAACAAAUGCCUGGGUUUCCCCCAAAGAACAAAUAGGACAAUUUCUGAAAAUUGUUGCAGGACUGGAGAAGGAAGGGGAGGUUAAGGGAGAGGAGAGGGGGUGGGGAUGGGGUGCAAGAGGAGUGAGAGAGAACCCUCUGAGAGGGACUCUGGGGGAGCUGUCAGCAAGGUGGGGGUUGCUGCCUCUGUGAGGGCAAAUCGGGUCUUGUGACUCCUCACAGGACAGGCGACAGCAUGGAAGGAGGCUGCCUGAGAAAAGUCCUGCGUCUGCCUGCAGCACGGGAGAAAUGAUUUCACCUCUGUCCUGUCCCCAUUUUUGCCUGAUUUUUGCCUGGGACUGAUUCAUUCACUUUAUAAAACUGGGUCCCAUGAUGUGCUGUUCCAGGCAUGGGGGAAUGAAGAAACAAACAAAAAUC
Molecule: non-coding RNA, 1298 nt
Organism: Macaca mulatta (Rhesus monkey)
Lineage: Eukaryota; Metazoa; Chordata; Mammalia; Primates; Cercopithecidae
Source: RefSeq, a predicted model, not a curated record